Molecule: ribosomal RNA, 253 nt
Filed under: Alphaproteobacteria bacterium
Lineage: Bacteria; Pseudomonadati; Pseudomonadota; Alphaproteobacteria
Also listed under: 1 other name
Description: partial 16S ribosomal RNA
Rfam family: Bacterial small subunit ribosomal RNA
Source: RNAcentral
UACGGAGGGGGCUAGCGUUGUUCGGAAUCACUGGGCGUAAAGCGCGCGUAGGCGGCUUGGAAAGUUGGAUGUGAAAUCCCGGGGCUUAACCCCGGAACUGCAUUCAAAACUUCCUGGCUAGAGACUUAGAGAGGUGGGCGGAAUUCCGAGUGUAGAGGUGAAAUUCGUAGAUAUUCGGAAGAACACCGGUUGCGAAGGCGGCUCACUGGCUAAGUUCUGACGCUGAGGUGCGAAAGCGUGGGGAGCAAACAGG